UACGGGGGGGGCAAGCGUUGUUCGGAAUUACUGGGCGUAAAGGGCUCGUAGGUGGCCAACUAAGUCAGACGUGAAAUCCCCAGGCUCAACUUGGGAACUGCGUCUGAUUCUGGAUGGCUUGAAUUCGGGAGAGGGAUGCAGAAUUCCAGGUGUAGCGGUGAAAUGCGUAGAUAUCUGGAGGAAUACCGGUGGCGAAGGCGGCAUCCUGGACCGAUAUUGACACUGAUGAGCGAAAGCUAGGGGAGCAAACGGG
This 253-nucleotide ribosomal RNA is filed under the name uncultured bacterium. RNAcentral describes it as "partial 16S ribosomal RNA". It matches the Rfam family "Bacterial small subunit ribosomal RNA", at positions 524 to 776 of the family's 1533-position model. The record is from RNAcentral.